AACCUUAUGGACCUGCGGGCGUAUACCUGCGGAGGGAUCAUUAACCUUUCAAAUCAGGGUGCGUCGCGGCCCCCGAGGAGCGGAAACAAUCCUUGGGAGGUUUGCGGGGGCUUCGCGCCCCCCAUAACGCACGCACGACUGCCAUCCUUACUUUACGAGCACCUUCUGUUCUCCCUCGGCGGGGCAACCUGCCGUUGGAACCGAAUAAACUCUUUUUGCAUCUAGCAUUACCUGUUCCGA
This 240-nucleotide unclassified non-coding RNA is filed under the name soil metagenome. RNAcentral describes it as "partial contains 5.8S ribosomal RNA, internal transcribed spacer 2, and large subunit ribosomal RNA". The record is from RNAcentral.